CAAUUGCUGGCCUUUAUCUAGCACUUACUGUGUGCCCAGUACUACAAAGAUCUUUGGAUUUAAUUAUCUCAUUUAAUUAUCCCAAUAACCCUUUGAGGUGGGGGCUGUUAUUAUUCCCCAUUUACAAAUGAGAAACCUUAGAAAGGGAAGGUCAUGUACUUUCAAGGGGUAGAACCCGUGAUGUGAAUCUUAGUCUGUUUGGGCUGCUAUAACAAAAAAACACCAUCAACUGCAUGGCUUAUAAUCAACAACCACUUACUUCUCACAGUUCCAGUGGCUGUGACAUCAGCAAAUUCAGUAUCUGAUAAGGGCCUACUUUCUGGUUCACAGAUAGCAUCUCCUCACUGUGUCCUCACGUAGUAGAAGGGGUGAGGGGUCUCUCUAGAGCCUCUUUUACAAAGGUACUAAUCACAUUCAUGAGGGCUCACCCUUAUGACCUGUCACCUCCAAAAGGCCCCACCUCCUAAUACCAUCACUUUGGGGGUUAGGAUUUCAAUGUAUGAAUUUGGGAGGGGUGCAGAUCACAGACAUCCAGGCCAUGGCAGAACCAAAGGACUCUGACCUGAAAGUCUGUAUGCUUACACCAUAGAGUGUUCUAGUAAUAACAGUGACAGUUAUUAUUACUGUUUUAAUGAUGGAUUCCUGUUACCUAGCUGACAACUCUGAGGCUCAGAGAGCAUGAGUGAAUUGUCCAACGUUGUUUUUGGCAGAGCCGAGCUGCAAAGCCAGGUCCCAAGAGUGCCGAGUCUGUGCUCUUUCUUCUACACUUGCUUAAAAUGGAAUCCUUUUUGUCCUGCUUCCUGCAGAAACAGAGCUAGAUGGAAAAGGGCCCAGGAGACUGGGGAGGAGCGUGGGAAGGGGGGAAAUUAUUGCUGGUGCCUGGAAGUUUUCACAAGCGUGGAUUUCCCCUGGUUGGUUGAAGACUAGAUCAGAAUCUCUCCAGAGUCUGCUGUGAAGAUGCUGUGGAAUUCCUGGUGUGUCUGAUGAGGUGUUGCUGCGCCGAGGCUGUCAGACAGCUGGCUCUCUGAGAAAACCUCCAGACCCUGUUGCUGCCCCAAGGAAUGAGAUUUGUAGUUAUGCAAGCCAGGAGAAUCCCACUGAUUUGCUCUUUUACAGGUAGAGGUACCAGAAAAACCCAAUCUGCCACAUAACCAGAGGGGAAACAUAUAAAGAAUCAGAGCCUUGCUCUGUCACCCAGGCUGGAGUGCAAUGGCGCG
This 1217-nucleotide long non-coding RNA is filed under the name Homo sapiens (human). RNAcentral's name for it is "HSALNT0290584". Lineage: Eukaryota; Metazoa; Chordata; Mammalia; Primates; Hominidae. The record is from RNAcentral.